UUGGACCUGAUAAGUGGCGGGUGAUAGUUUCUCCAGGUUAAACGUGGGGUCAGUAGCGCCCGUUUCGUCCACAAAAUUCAAUGGAUACCUGUACAUAUUUAAGUUGGUGACCGAAUCCCGGUAGUUUUCAACAGAACAAUAAGUCUUGAGUAGGAUCUUUCUUUGGAUUGUUAUUGGGACAGAGCUUGAAUUCAUAGAAGCCCCUGUGCGUAGCCGUUAUCUGAAUCGUGACGGGAAUAAUUUGGCCUUGCGUGUAAUUCCGCACGAUCGUCCCAGUGGCAAAAAGGCCACCGGGAGCCUCAUGUGGCUUAAUCACCUCGUCAUAGGGAUCGCCGCACACUCCACAUCGACCCGAAUUCACCAACCAUUGCCUCUGCCUCGCAGAAAAAGAAAAGGAUCACAAGGAUACCACAGUGUGUUCUUAAUAGUACAAAUUACAUCAAAUCCGCCGCAAAAUCCCUCCAUAUCCUAAUAAAAUCAUAGAGCGCGAUGGUGGAUCAAAUAAUCUUCCGUGGCCGUCGACCAAAGUCAUCUUUGGUUUUAUGUGAACAGAAGUUUAAGGUAUAGAUAUAUUUUAUACAGUUAAGACGCAAGAAUGGCCAAUGCGAUGGCCCUCCACUCCAGUUGAGCCAGUAGAUUCAUCACACUAACUGCUGUAAGAGUGAACUGUUCAGAGUUAACUACGGUAGAGCUAUGAUUGGUGGCAUUCAACUGUUCCAUGCUUCAAUGAGAGCUGGACACUUUUAUAGCCGGAGAAAAAUAGAAUUGCUGGCAGUGACAUCCGAGGUGAUCUGGAAACUGAAUGACCUGGAACAGAAAAGGACAUGAGCAGGUCAGGUUCUAAUUUACGCGGCUAGAAAAUCAGCAAUCAAUAAGAAGGGAGUGUUGUUACGUGAUCAUCCAUCUUUACUGCGGAUACAAAUGCAACCAUAAACGUAAUAUCGAUGCAGUCGUUUUAUAAAAGGUCUCUUUGUUUGUUCUUUCUUUGGGAAAGUGAAAAAAGUAAAAGAAGAUCAUCGGCAGCGAUUUGGUAGCCUCCUACCUAAUUGGCCGAGCUGUGUAGUCGACUAGACGUCUUUAUGCCCCCGUUUAGAACCUUCUUUCAGAUUUUUAUCCCUUUAAAGAAAGGCAGAUUAGGUGAGUUUGCCAUGGUCUAUAGCGCGGCAGGACGUCUUCUGUCUUUCGUACGCCCUAGUAGCUAGCUCGUCAGUUCAUCAGGUAGAGAAAAUUGGCGAUAUGUAUGACAGCUUCAGCAGCUCUUUUCGUUUUAUCACGCACUGGCAAUCAAUCCCUGUGUACGUGCCUAGAACGUGAGACAUCAUAGGCUUAGUAAAUGGCGCCAUUCCCUAUUGACUUGACAGUUCUUGGAUGCUUUCUGAGAAAAAAUGUUUGUGUUUUCCAAUUUCUUUAUUUUGAAAAACUAAGGUAGGGUAUCACAUGACAGCUGGCCAUGUCGCCUUCGAUUCUGCCUCGAUAGAUCAUCAUCUUUUUUAAGUUUUACCUUCCUGAUUCAAAUGAUUUGUUUAAGGUUCAGAAAUGGAAAAAUUGAAACCUCAUCUAACAAUUUGCGUGGAUUAAACUUUUCCUUGAAGGGAAAAUCCUCACAUUCGGUAGAUUUUGAAAAUUAGUUUCAAAUGGAGUCACCGUUGAUACCAAAGUAUCCACUUUGAUGUUCGUGUUCUGAGUUGCACGUUUAAUAGCAUCAGGGCUUGAAUUUAUUUGGGCAAGCGUCAGCUAGAACCAGUGAGAUAGAAAUUAUUUGGAUAGAAUAGUAAAUAGAAUUUCUUUUACAAUGGUAUUCAAUAGAAGAUUUCCAUGGAAACCAAAUUCUCCAGAAAAAAAAUUUCCUGGGUCUUCAUGUGUUUUGUUCAAACGCAAGUUGAACUACAAAUUUUAAUCGCCAAGAGAUGGCGAACAGUCUGUUAAGUCAGAGAAGUUUCUUCAGGUCAAGUUCUUCUAUUCAAUCUGACGGCUCUACAUCUUCGGCUCACUAUUACCGUUUCGCGCGUGCGUAUUUCUCAAUCAUAACCACGCGAUUGCAAUUUACGCUGCUAGCCCCGAUUCAGUACAUUCGCGUGGUUCUCCCAUGUGUACAUCUUUACAAGAAACUUUUGUGUUAAUUUGUGUAUUCACGUUAAUACAAGUUCAUCUUUGUGUAAUUAAA
Daphnia magna is the source of this 2164-nucleotide long non-coding RNA. RefSeq lists it as uncharacterized. The record is from RefSeq and is a predicted model, not a curated record. Lineage: Eukaryota; Metazoa; Arthropoda; Branchiopoda; Diplostraca; Daphniidae. The transcript is spliced from 6 exons.